Molecule: ribosomal RNA, 209 nt
Filed under: Clostridioides difficile
Lineage: Bacteria; Bacillati; Bacillota; Clostridia; Peptostreptococcales; Peptostreptococcaceae
Description: partial 23S ribosomal RNA
Rfam family: Bacterial large subunit ribosomal RNA
Source: RNAcentral
UGGGAGUGAGAAUGUUGGCAUGAGUAGCGAGAUGUGGGUGAGAAUCCCACAGGCCGUAAACCCAAGGUUUCCAGGGGAAGGGUCGUCCGCCCUGGGUUAGUCGGGACCUAAGCUGAGGCCGAAAGGCAUAGGUGAUGGACAACAGGUUGAUAUUCCUGUACUACCGAUAACCGUUUGAGAGAUGGGAUGACACAGUAGGAUAAGCUAAG